UGGGGAAUAUUGCACAAUGUGCGCAAGCCUGAUGCAGCCAUGCCGCGUGUGUGAAGCAGGCCUUCGGGUUGUAAAGCACUUUCAGCGGGGAGGAAGGCGAUAAGGUUAAUAACCUCAUCGAUUGACGUUACCCGCAGAAGAAGCACCGGCUAACCCCGUGCCAGCAGCCGCGGUAAUACGGAGGGUGCAAGCGUUAAUCGGAAUUACUGGGCGUAAAGCGCACGCAGGCGGGCUGUCAAGUCGGAUGUGAAAUCCCCGGGCUCAACCUGGGAACUGCAUUCGAAACUGGCAGGCUAGAGUCUUGUAGAGGGGGGUAGAAUUCCAGGUGUAGCGGUGAAAUGCGUAGAGAUCUGGAGGAAUACCGGUGGCGAAGGCGGCCCCCUGGACAAAGACUGACGCUCAGGUGCGAAAGCGGGGGGAGCAAACAGG
RNAcentral lists this ribosomal RNA (429 nucleotides) under Chloroflexota bacterium. RNAcentral describes it as "Chloroflexi bacterium partial 16S ribosomal RNA". It matches the Rfam family "Bacterial small subunit ribosomal RNA", at positions 355 to 776 of the family's 1533-position model. The record is from RNAcentral. Lineage: Bacteria; Bacillati; Chloroflexota.